GUGAGGAAUAUUGCUCAAUGGGCGCAAGCCUGAAGCAGCGACGCCGCGUGGACGAUGAAGGCUUUCGGGUCGUAAAGUCCUUUUUGAGGUGACGAGCAGGGACGGUAGCCUCAGAAUAAGUGUCGGCUAACUACGUGCCAGCAGCCGCGGUAAAACGUAGGACACGAGCGUUAUCCGGAGUUACUGGGCGUAAAGGGCGUUCAGGCGGGUGAUUAAGUUCGCUAUGAAAGCGCCGGGCUAAACCCGGCGAGGCUGGCGGAUACUGGUCAUCUGGAGUCGGCGAGAGGGAGGUAGAAUUCCGCGUGUAGUGGUGAAAUGCGUAGAGAUGCGGAGGAAUACCAGUGGCGAAGGCGGCCUCCUGGCGCACGACUGACGCUGAAGCGCGAAAGCAUGGGGAGCGAACGGGAUUAGAUACCCUGGUAGUCC
This 426-nucleotide ribosomal RNA is filed under the name uncultured bacterium. RNAcentral describes it as "bacterial SSU rRNA". It matches the Rfam family "Bacterial small subunit ribosomal RNA", at positions 354 to 796 of the family's 1533-position model. The record is from RNAcentral.